RNAcentral lists this ribosomal RNA (440 nucleotides) under uncultured bacterium. Its description in RNAcentral is "partial 16S ribosomal RNA". It matches the Rfam family "Bacterial small subunit ribosomal RNA", at positions 338 to 795 of the family's 1533-position model. The record is from RNAcentral.
CCUACGGGUGGCAGCAGUGGGGAAUAUUGCACAAUGGGGGAAACCCUGAUGCAGCGACGCCGCGUGAGUGAAGAAGUAUUUCGGUACGUAAAGCUCUAUCAGCAGGGAAGAAAAUGACGGUACCUGACUAAGAAGCCCCGGCUAACUACGUGCCAGCAGCCGCGGUAAUACGUAGGGGGCAAGCGUUAUCCGGAUUUACUGGGUGUAAAGGGAGCGUAGACGGCAGCGCAAGGCUGGAGUGAAAUCCCAUGGCUUAACCAUGGAACUGCUUUGGAAACUGUGCAGCUAGAGUGCAGGAGAGGUAAGCGGAAUUCCUGGUGUAGCGGUGAAAUGCGUAGAUAUUAGGAGGAACACCAGUGGCGAAGGCGGCUUACUGGACUGUAACUGACGUUGAGGCUCGAAGGCGUGGGGAGCAAACAGGAUUAGAUACCCCGGUAGUC